This 521-nucleotide ribosomal RNA is filed under the name Acidobacteriota bacterium. Its description in RNAcentral is "bacterial LSU rRNA". It matches the Rfam family "Bacterial large subunit ribosomal RNA", at positions 1956 to 2477 of the family's 2925-position model. The record is from RNAcentral. Lineage: Bacteria; Pseudomonadati; Acidobacteriota.
GAGCGAAAUUCCUUGUCGGGUAAGUUCCGACCUGCACGAAUGGUGGAAUGAUAGAGCGACUGUCUUGGCGAACGGCUCGGCGAAUUUGUGGUUCCGGUGAAGACGCCGGAUGCCCGCAUCUAGACGGAAAGACCCCGUGCACCUUUACUGCACUCUGGUCAUGAGUAACGGAAUAGUCUGCGUAGCAUAGGCAGGAGCCUGUGAACCUCUGGUUUCGGCUGGAGGGGAGGCAACAGUGAAAUACUGCCCUGAUUGUUCUGUCGCUCUAACCUACCGCCCGUGACGGGCGGGGAGACACGGCCAGACGGGUAGUUUGACUGGGGCGGUCGCCUCCUAAACGGUAACGGAGGCGCCCAAAGAUCGGCUCAGGCGGAUUGGAAACCCGCUGUGGAGUGCAAGAGCAGAAGCCGGUUUGACUGUGAGACUUACAAGUCGAGCAGGGACGAAAGUCGGGUCUAGUGAUCCGGUGGUCCCGCGUGGAAGGGCCAUCGCUCAACGGAUAAAAGGUACGCCGGGGAUAA